CUGGUUCAGCAGGUCUGGGUGGGACCUGAGAUUCUGCAUUUCUAACAAGUUUCCACCUCAAGCUGCUGCUCCACCAGCCACA
Molecule: microRNA precursor, 82 nt
Filed under: Octodon degus (degu)
Lineage: Eukaryota; Metazoa; Chordata; Mammalia; Rodentia; Octodontidae
Description: miRNA (ENSODEG00000021798.1)
Source: RNAcentral